Molecule: ribosomal RNA, 395 nt
Filed under: Acanthamoeba sp. Cerrado FPD-2014
Lineage: Eukaryota; Discosea; Longamoebia; Acanthamoebidae
Description: SSU rRNA
Rfam family: Eukaryotic small subunit ribosomal RNA
Source: RNAcentral
CGAAUACAUUAGCAUGGGAUAAUGGAAUAGGACCCUGUCCUCCUAUUUUCAGUUGGUUUUGGCAGCGCGAGGACUAGGGUAAUGAUUAAUAGGGAUAGUUGGGGGCAUUAAUAUUUAAUUGUCAGAGGUGAAAUUCUUGGAUUUAUGAAAGAUUAACUUCUGCGAAAGCAUCUGCCAAGGAUGUUUUCAUUAAUCAUGAACGAAAGUUAGGGGAUCGAAGACGAUCAGAUACCGUCGUAGUCUUAACCAUAAACGAUGCCGACCAGCGAUUAGGAGACGUUGAAUACAAAACACCACCAUCGGUUGCGGUCGUCCUUGGCGUCUCGGUUUCGGCCGGGGCGCGGGGACGGUUUAGCCCGGUGGCACCGGUGAAUGACUCCCCUAGCAGCUUGUGA